Phacochoerus africanus (Common warthog) is the source of this 334-nucleotide long non-coding RNA. RefSeq lists it as uncharacterized. NCBI's taxonomy places the organism in Eukaryota, Metazoa, Chordata, Mammalia, Artiodactyla, Suidae. The transcript is spliced from 3 exons. The record is from RefSeq and is a predicted model, not a curated record.
ACUCCUUCCCUUCCACGUCCUCCUUCUGCAAGUGUGGGACGGAGACCGCCGCAUCCUGAUUACGCUGGCCAGAGUAGAAGCUCACGUUGCUGGGGGAGAGGCCGCUGAGGUACAGCGCUGCGGGCGGAGGUCUUCCACGGUAGCCCUGGUGGAAUCCCAGCUACCCCUCACCCCAAGCUCUGACUGCUCACACAGGGCUCUAAUUUGGAAUCACAGAGCCAGCAACGUUUUGGAGGGAAAGGGACCCACACACUGAGCCUCCCUAGCUUCUCCCAAACACUUUUCCACCUGGACCAGAACGCAGUUUUGGCCACCUGUGGCAGUGGCGUUCCUG